This 243-nucleotide long non-coding RNA is filed under the name Carica papaya (papaya). Its description in RNAcentral is "long non-coding RNA (CPAP_LNC013737)". Lineage: Eukaryota; Viridiplantae; Streptophyta; Magnoliopsida; Brassicales; Caricaceae. The record is from RNAcentral.
ACAUGUGCGUAGUAGGCCUGCUCGCAUGGUGCCCAGUAUGCCUUAGCCCUCUGCGCAUGCAGGCUAGCCCCUGCGCACACAACAGUAAGCCUGUGCACCUGCAAGCUAAUUUGCAGCGCGCUGGUCAGGCACUGGCACUUCGGGCAGUGCACUGCCGUUGCCUUGGGCAGUGUUCUGCCACCGCCGGUGGAGGAAAUUUUUCCCUCACAUUUUUUCAACCAAAAAUCUUAUUCUCAUCUCUCG